RNAcentral lists this transfer RNA (74 nucleotides) under Cnemaspis tarutaoensis. Its description in RNAcentral is "tRNA-Trp". The record is from RNAcentral. Lineage: Eukaryota; Metazoa; Chordata; Lepidosauria; Squamata; Gekkonidae.
UAGAAAUUUAGGAUAGCGCCUUAAACCAGGGGCCUUCAAAGCCCCAAACAAGAGAACACCUCUUAAUUUUUGAA